AUGAGAUUGUGUUCGAAUGAGACAGAAGGAGAACUGGGCACUCCUAUUCUGGAUACAGAGACUCCUUUGGGAGAUGUUGAGGCUGAGGAUGAUGGUUCGGAUUAUGAGCCAUCUUGGGAUAAGAAGCUCAAGUUAAAGAUGAAGAAGUUGCUAUGUAUGGAGGCUCACGAGCAGUAUGUGGCACAUGUGUCAGAGAAGAAAUCACGUAGUCGUCACAAGGUCCUUAUGCGUCAGGUUGGAGUAGAGGUUGUCAAUGGGUCAAAUAACAAGGUCACUGAUGAGGAGGCAUGGAUCUCUCAACACUGUCCCUGGACGGAUUCAGAGACCGAUCAGCUUGCUGCUUCUACCGAUGACGGAGGCGCGAGCGACCAUGCGGAGCUAUGA
RNAcentral lists this ribosomal RNA (384 nucleotides) under Triticum aestivum (bread wheat). RNAcentral's name for it is "partial small subunit ribosomal RNA". Lineage: Eukaryota; Viridiplantae; Streptophyta; Magnoliopsida; Poales; Poaceae. The record is from RNAcentral.